CAAGGUAUGAAGGGCGACCGCGGAACGCGUUACGUGUUUCGAGGAAAGUCCGGACUCCUAACGAAAGGGGUACCUGGGCGUAAUGUCCCAGGGGGGCGUAAGUCCAUGGAAAGUGCCACAGAAAAUUACCGCCUCUGCAGGCCUUAGGGCUGUAGAGGUAAGGGUGAAAACGUGCGGUAAGAGCGCACGACAGCGUGCAGUAAUGUACGAUGGGGGCAAACCCUGCCCGGAGCAAGGCCAAACAACGUGUACGGUUAUUUCGUUCCGCCCUUUUCCUUCGGGAAAACGGGAAUAAACACGUGGGUAGGCUGCUUAGACACAUGGUUGCUAGACAUUCCCUUUGGGGGAUGUUACAGAAUCCGGCUUACUGAGUACCUUGCAUC
RNAcentral lists this RNase P RNA (383 nucleotides) under Candidatus Babelota bacterium. Its description in RNAcentral is "RNase P RNA component class A". It matches the Rfam family "Bacterial RNase P class A". Rfam says of the family: Ribonuclease P (RNase P) is a ubiquitous endoribonuclease, found in archaea, bacteria and eukarya as well as chloroplasts and mitochondria. Its best characterised activity is the generation of mature 5'-ends of tRNAs by cleaving the 5'-leader elements of precursor-tRNAs. The record is from RNAcentral.